AACGAACGCUGGCGGCAUGCCUAACACAUGCAAGUCGAACGAUGCUUUCGGGCAUAGUGGCGCACGGGUGCGUAACGCGUGGGAAUCUGCCCUUGGGUUCGGAAUAACAGUGAGAAAUUGCUGCUAAUACCGGAUGAUGUCUUCGGACCAAAGAUUUAUCGCCCAGGGAUGAGCCCGCGUAGGAUUAGCUAGUUGGUGGGGUAAUGGCCUACCAAGGCGACGAUCCUUAGCUGGUCUGAGAGGAUGAUCAGCCACACUGGGACUGAGACACGGCCCAGACUCCUACGGGAGGCAGCAGUGGGGAAUAUUGGACAAUGGGCGCAAGCCUGAUCCAGCAAUGCCGCGUGAGUGAUGAAGGCCUUAGGGUUGUAAAGCUCUUUUACCCGGGAUGAUAAUGACAGUACCGGGAGAAAAAGCUCCGGCUAACUCCGUG
Molecule: ribosomal RNA, 433 nt
Filed under: uncultured bacterium
Lineage: Bacteria
Description: partial 16S ribosomal RNA
Rfam family: Bacterial small subunit ribosomal RNA
Source: RNAcentral